This 910-nucleotide ribosomal RNA is filed under the name Neocatenulostroma germanicum. RNAcentral describes it as "eukaryotic LSU rRNA". It matches the Rfam family "Eukaryotic large subunit ribosomal RNA", at positions 19 to 960 of the family's 3401-position model. The record is from RNAcentral. Lineage: Eukaryota; Fungi; Ascomycota; Dothideomycetes; Mycosphaerellales; Teratosphaeriaceae.
GGGAUACCCGCUGAACUUAAGCAUAUCAAUAAGCGGAGGAAAAGAAACCAACAGGGAUUGCCCUAGUAACGGCGAGUGAAGCGGCAACAGCUCAAAUUUGAAAUCUGGCGCAAGCCCGAGUUGUAAUUUGUAGAGGAUGCUUCUGGGCAGCGGCCGGUCUAAGUUCCUUGGAACAGGACGUCACAGAGGGUGAGAAUCCCGUAUGUGAUCGGUUGGCACCCGCUACGUAGCUCCUUCGACGAGUCGAGUUGUUUGGGAAUGCAGCUCUAAAUGGGAGGUAAAUGCCUUCUAAAGCUAAAUACCGGCCAGAGACCGAUAGCGCACAAGUAGAGUGAUCGAAAGAUGAAAAGCACUUUGGAAAGAGAGUUAAAAAGCACGUGAAAUUGUUGAAAGGGAAGCGCAUGCAACCAGACUUGUCCGCGGUGUUCCGCCGGUCUUCUGACCGGUCUACUCGCCGCGGGCAGGCCAGCAUCAUCUGGGAGCGCCGGAUAAAGGUAGCGGGAAUGUGGCCCCUCGGGGUGUUAUAGCUCGCUACACAAUACGGCGCCUCCCGGGUGAGGUCCGCGCUUCGGCUAGGAUGCUGGCGUAAUGGUUGUAUGCGGCCCGUCUUGAAACACGGACCAAGGAGUCUACCAUCUAUGCGAGUGUUCGGGUGUCAAACCCCUACGCGCAAUGAAAGUGAACGGAGGUGGGAACCGCAAGGUGCACCAUCGACCGAUCCUGAUGUCUUCGGAUGGAUUUGAGUAAGAGCAUAGCUGGUGGGACCCGAAAGAUGGUGAACUAUGCCUGAAUAGGGUGAAGCCAGAGGAAACUCUGGUGGAGGCUCGCAGCGGUUCUGACGUGCAAAUCGAUCGUCAAAUUUGGGUAUAGGGGCGAAAGACUAAUCGAACCAUCUAGUAGCUGGUUCCUG